GCCAUUGUGGCAUAAUGGUUUGAGUACUGGACUACAACUUUGGAGGCUAGGGUUCCAUUCCCAGCACAGCCA
This is a non-coding RNA of Phrynosoma platyrhinos (Desert horned lizard), 72 nucleotides long. NCBI's taxonomy places the organism in Eukaryota, Metazoa, Chordata, Lepidosauria, Squamata, Phrynosomatidae. The record is from the annotation of a GenBank genome assembly.